RNAcentral lists this ribosomal RNA (447 nucleotides) under uncultured bacterium. Its description in RNAcentral is "bacterial SSU rRNA". It matches the Rfam family "Bacterial small subunit ribosomal RNA", at positions 355 to 796 of the family's 1533-position model. The record is from RNAcentral.
UCGAGAAUUUUUCUCAAUGGGGGAAACCCUGAAGGAGCGACGCCGCGUGGAGGAUGAAGGUCUUCGGAUUGUAAACUCCUGUCAUUUGGGAACAAAACUUCCGUUUUACUGACGGAAGCUUGAUAGUACUAGAAGAGGAAGAGACGGCUAACUCUGUGCCAGCAGCCGCGGUAAUACAGAGGUCUCAACCGUUGUUCGGAUUCAUUGGGCGUAAAGGGUGCGUAGGCGGUCGGGUAAGUCGGAUGUGAAAUCCCAGGGCUCAACCCUGGAACUGCAUUCGAUACUGCCUGGCUAGGGUACUGGAGAGGAGACUGGAAUUUACGGUGUAGCAGUGAAAUGCGUAGAUAUCGUAAGGAAGACCAGUGGCGAAGGCGAGUCUCUGGACAGUUACCGACGCUGAGGCACGAAGGUCAGGGGAGCAAACGGGAUUAGAUACCCCCGUAGUCC